RNAcentral lists this transfer RNA (86 nucleotides) under Prevotellaceae bacterium. Its description in RNAcentral is "tRNA-Leu". It matches the Rfam family "tRNA". Rfam says of the family: Transfer RNA (tRNA) molecules are approximately 80 nucleotides in length. Their secondary structure includes four short double-helical elements and three loops (D, anti-codon, and T loops). The record is from RNAcentral. Lineage: Bacteria; Pseudomonadati; Bacteroidota; Bacteroidia; Bacteroidales; Prevotellaceae.
GCCCAGGUGGCGGAAUGGUAGACGCGCUAGUUUCAGGUACUAGUGUUAGAAAUGACGUGCAGGUUCGAGUCCUGUUCUGGGCACCU